UCGGUAAUUUUGGGCAAUGGGCGAAAGCCUGACCCAGCAACGCCGCGUGAAGGAUGAAGUAUUUCGGUAUGUAAACUUCGAAAGAAUGGGAAGAAUAAAUGACGGUACCAUUUAUAAGGUCCGGCUAACUACGUGCCAGCAGCCGCGGUAAUACGUAGGGACCAAGCGUUGUUCGGAUUUACUGGGCGUAAAGGGCGCGUAGGCGGCUUUGUAAGUCACUUGUGAAAUCUCCGGGCUUAACUCGGAACGGCCAAGUGAUACUGCAAAGCUAGAGUGCAGAAGGGGCAAUCGGAAUUCUUGGUGUAGCGGUGAAAUGCGUAGAUAUCAAGAGGAACACCUGAGGUGAAGACGGGUUGCUGGGCUGACACUGACGCUGAGGCGCGAAAGCCAGGGGAGCAAACG
Molecule: ribosomal RNA, 402 nt
Filed under: uncultured bacterium
Lineage: Bacteria
Description: bacterial SSU rRNA
Rfam family: Bacterial small subunit ribosomal RNA
Source: RNAcentral